CCCAAAACCAUAUUUCUUCAUUCAUCGUAACAAUGCUUUCAUGGAGAGUAACUGCGUGAUGGUCUCGUGAUGAUCAUCAUUGUUGGCAGUAACAAGAGAUGGUCUUACUGAAGAGAUCGGAGAGGGAUCGAGAUUAGAGACAUCCCAUCUAUGUAGAGAUACCAUCUUAAGAAUACAACUGAGUAUCCGAACUCGAAAUUUUUUAAGCCAGUUGAUGCAGAUAACUUCGCAGUUUGGAACAGAAUAUCAGAAUCCAAGUGUAGUUCUUCCAGGUGCGGUUCUAGCCUUAUUAGGCCUUCAGGCUGUGACAAAUAACUGCUCCGAACUAUGAAUCCUGCUGAUUUCCUCUCAGAUAUUGCUCGUUAGUAUUACAAAUCUAAUUGUGUGAAUCAAAUUAACUUGCUGAACUAGCCCGUGCGAUUGCUAGAGAGGUCAAGAGAAGGCUAUAAUUGUGUGAAUCAAAUUAAUAAACUAGCCCGCGCAAUUGCGCGUGUUUACUGAA
Long non-coding RNA from Papaver somniferum (opium poppy), 502 nucleotides. RefSeq lists it as uncharacterized. The transcript has 2 exons. NCBI's taxonomy places the organism in Eukaryota, Viridiplantae, Streptophyta, Magnoliopsida, Ranunculales, Papaveraceae. The record is from RefSeq and is a predicted model, not a curated record.